Molecule: ribosomal RNA, 253 nt
Filed under: uncultured bacterium
Lineage: Bacteria
Description: partial 16S ribosomal RNA
Rfam family: Bacterial small subunit ribosomal RNA
Source: RNAcentral
UACGGGGGGGGCUAGCGUUGUUCGGAAUUACUGGGCGUAAAGCGCUCGUAGGCGGUCGCCCAUGUCAGAUGUGAAAGCCCUGGGCUUAACCUAGGAAUUGCAUUUGAAACUGCGCCGCUAGAGGCCGGAAGAGGGUAGUGGAAUUCCCAGUGUAGAGGUGAAAUUCGUAGAUAUUGGGAAGAACACCGGUGGCGAAGGCGGCUACCUGGUCCGGUUCUGACGCUGAGGUGCGAAAGCGUGGGGAGCAAACAGG